Long non-coding RNA from Patella vulgata (common limpet), 739 nucleotides. RefSeq lists it as uncharacterized. NCBI's taxonomy places the organism in Eukaryota, Metazoa, Mollusca, Gastropoda, Patellidae. The transcript has 2 exons. The record is from RefSeq and is a predicted model, not a curated record.
UUCCCUAUCGUGUAAGAGUAUAGGAUUUAAACACGGGUCGGCAUUGUAAAUAUUAACUUCAUUUAAAUUAACAACAAGAAUAUAUAUGAUUUAACUACAUGAAACCAAACACACACCCGAAGCAACAACACCCUCGCUCGCUCUCCGGCUCUUUGCCAACUUCAUUAUGUAUAUAUUGUACAUGCGAAUAUUAAUGGGAAUAUAUAUCAUCUUUAAUUAUCCGAUAUCACGAUAAGUAGAUUAAAUGGUACGUAAAGCUAACAUUACAAGAUUAUCUUUCAUCACAUCCAUCUAAAAAUGUAUGCAUUUGGUAAAAGCUAUAUCCGGCUGAAAAUCUAACCUGUUUAUUUUUCAGAAAAUGAAGAAAGGAUCCAUAUUAUGUGUAUGUGUUUUGAUGGUAUUAAUUUCUGAAGUAGAAUGUUAUGGUACAGGUCUUGGAAUGUAUAAUUCAGCAACAGGUGUUUUAAUGCACCUAUUUGAACUCAUAAAGAACGUCGCCCAAAUGGUCGGGCGUAGUGUAACAAAUUACAUAGCGACUUCCUGGACAGUUGAAUCAGUAUGCGGGACGUACUUCUAUUUAAAGAAGUGCACAGAUAUGGCAAAUAACUGUGGUUACAUCUGUGAUAUAUUAAGUCCUAUCUGCGGUGCAAUGGCACCCAUAUCAGAUAUUACCACAAAACUUUUGUGUGACAAAGACGCCACAUUUUAUUCAGUUAUGAAAGACGAACUCAUAAAAGCA